GCCAGCAUGGUGCAGUGGUUCGGACACUGGACUGGGGCUCUGGAGACUAGAGUUUGAAUCCCAGUUCAGCCA
Molecule: non-coding RNA, 72 nt
Organism: Phrynosoma platyrhinos (Desert horned lizard)
Lineage: Eukaryota; Metazoa; Chordata; Lepidosauria; Squamata; Phrynosomatidae
Source: the annotation of a GenBank genome assembly